AAGACAUUAGUAAAGUGUAUUACACCAUCUUGUCAAGAUGGAAUCACAGGUUAAAGUCCUGUAUGUUUUA
RNAcentral lists this transfer RNA (70 nucleotides) under Sundadanio axelrodi 'red'. Its description in RNAcentral is "tRNA-Asp". It matches the Rfam family "tRNA". From Rfam's summary of the family: Transfer RNA (tRNA) molecules are approximately 80 nucleotides in length. Their secondary structure includes four short double-helical elements and three loops (D, anti-codon, and T loops). Further hydrogen bonds mediate the characteristic L-shaped molecular structure. tRNAs have two regions of fundamental functional importance: the anti-codon, which is responsible for specific mRNA codon recognition, and the 3' end, to which the tRNAs corresponding amino acid is attached (by aminoacyl-tRNA synthetases). tRNAs cope with the degeneracy of the genetic code in two manners: having more than one tRNA (with a specific anti-codon) for a particular amino acid; and 'wobble' base-pairing, i.e. permitting non-standard base-pairing at the 3rd anti-codon position. Lineage: Eukaryota; Metazoa; Chordata; Actinopteri; Cypriniformes; Sundadanionidae. The record is from RNAcentral.